This 21-nucleotide small nuclear RNA is filed under the name Arabidopsis thaliana (thale cress). RNAcentral describes it as "snRNA_05616". Lineage: Eukaryota; Viridiplantae; Streptophyta; Magnoliopsida; Brassicales; Brassicaceae. The record is from RNAcentral.
AAGUUCUUCUAUAAUUUAGAA